This is a long non-coding RNA of Balaenoptera ricei (Rice's whale), 878 nucleotides long. RefSeq lists it as uncharacterized. The transcript has 2 exons. The record is from RefSeq and is a predicted model, not a curated record. Lineage: Eukaryota; Metazoa; Chordata; Mammalia; Artiodactyla; Balaenopteridae.
GUCACCGGGGCGCCGGCCACAACGAGGGCGCGGCGGCCUUGCCCCCUGCCGCGACCCCCGCCUCCUGCCCGACCGGCGCGGAGCCUCCCAAAUCCGGCCGAUCCCGGCUGCAGCCCGAGCAUACCUGUCUCCAGCUCAGCUCCACCCGAAUGAGGCGCCGACACCCCACUCCGGGGCACCAAACUCUCGGCCCCGCCCCGGCGUGUGGCGUCAUCACGCCGCCCCGCCCUGGGAGGAGAGGGGCCGCCCCUAACUCGUGAGCGGGGUCUUGACGUCACAGAGUUGCGGCCGCGUUGCUCCUGGCGCGUUCUUGGGGGAGCGGUGCAGGCGCCGAGGCUGCGGCUGGGAGUCCUCCGGCCGGUCCCUACCGGGUUGCGUGACGGGUCUGAAAAGGGGGUCUGCACGUUGCUAAGUAGUGUUUCUUGCAGUGGGCUCUCAGGAGUCCUCUGAUGGAGAGCUGACCUAGUCUGUGCUGCCAGACAGAAAGGAACCUUGAUCAGCAAUGCGCGCUCGAGGCGCAGCAGGAUCAUUGGAAAAUCUAAGGACUUCCCUGAUGGUGCAGUGGUUAAGAAUCCGCCUGCCAAUGCAGGGGACACGGGUUUGAGCCCUGGUCCAGGAAGAUCCCACAUGCCGCGGAGCAGCUAAGCCCAUGCGCCACAACUACUGAGCCUGUGCUCUAGAGCCCACGAGCCACAACUACUGAAGCCCGUGUGCCUAGAGCCUGUGCUCCGCAACAAGAAGCUACCGCAAUGAGAAGCCUGUGCACCACAACAAAGAGUAGCCCCCACUCGUCGCAACUAAAGAAAGCCUGCGUGCAGCAAUGAAGACACAACGCAGCCCAAAAUAAACAAACAAAUAAAUAUAUUUUUUUAAAAAUC